UAAUACAGAGACUGCGAGCGUUAUUCGGAUUCACUGGGCGUAAAGGGUGCGCAGGCGGCCGUGUGUGUCAGGUGUGAAAUCUCGAGGCUCAACCUCGAAAUUGCGCCUGAAACUACACGGCUAGAGUACUGGAGAGGGAAACGGAAUUCACGGUGUAGCAGUGAAAUGCGUAGAUAUCGUGAGGAACACCAGAGGCGAAGGCGGUUUCCUGGACAGUGACUGACGCUCAGGCACGAAAGCGUGGGGAGCAAAAGGGA
Molecule: ribosomal RNA, 257 nt
Filed under: uncultured archaeon
Lineage: Archaea
Description: partial 16S ribosomal RNA
Rfam family: Bacterial small subunit ribosomal RNA
Source: RNAcentral